UAGAUACCCUGGUAGUCCACACCAUAAACGAUGUACACUAGGUGUUGGGGCAAGAGCCUCAGUGCCGAAGCAAACGUGAUAAGUGUACCGCCUGGGGAGUAUGCCGGCAACGGUGAAACUCAAAGGAAUUGACGGGGGCCCACACAAGCGGUGGAGCAUGUGGUUUAAUUCGAGGGUACGCGAGGAACCUUACCUGGGUUUGACAUCAAGAGCAAUACUGUAGAGAUAUGGUAGCGUAGCAAUACGGCUU
This 250-nucleotide ribosomal RNA is filed under the name uncultured bacterium. RNAcentral describes it as "partial 16S ribosomal RNA". It matches the Rfam family "Bacterial small subunit ribosomal RNA", at positions 779 to 1030 of the family's 1533-position model. The record is from RNAcentral.